RNAcentral lists this ribosomal RNA (751 nucleotides) under Arthroderma gertleri. RNAcentral describes it as "partial large subunit ribosomal RNA". It matches the Rfam family "Eukaryotic large subunit ribosomal RNA", at positions 83 to 855 of the family's 3401-position model. The record is from RNAcentral. Lineage: Eukaryota; Fungi; Ascomycota; Eurotiomycetes; Onygenales; Arthrodermataceae.
GUACGGCGAGUGAAGCGGCAAAAGCUCAAAUUUGAAAUCUGGCUCCUUCGGGGUCCGAGUUGUAAUUUGUAGAGGAUGCUUCGGGUGUGGUCACGACCUAAGUUCCUUGGAACAGGACGUCAUAGAGGGUGAGAAUCCCGUCUUGGGCCGUUGGUCACGCCCGUGUGAAGCUCCUUCGACGAGUCGAGUUGUUUGGGAAUGCAGCUCUAAGCGGGUGGUAAAUUUCAUCUAAAGCUAAAUAUUGGCCGGAGACCGAUAGCGCACAAGUAGAGUGAUCGAAAGGUUAAAAGCACCUUGAAAAGGGAGUUAAACAGCACGUGAAAUUGUUGAAAGGGAAGCGCUUGCGGCCAGACUCGAGCGCAGGGUUCAGCGGGUGCGUGUCACCCGUGCACUCCCUGUCGCUCGGGCCAGCAUCAGUUCUGACGGCCGGUCAAAGGCCCCCGGAAUGUGUCGUCUCUCGGGACGUCUUAUAGCCGGGGGUGCAAUGCGGCCCGUUGGGACUGAGGAACGCGCUUCGGCUCGGAUGCUGGCGUAAUGGCCGUAAGCGGCCCGUCUUGAAACACGGACCAAGGAGUCUAACAUCCACGCGAGUGUUCGGGUGUCAAACCCGUGCGCGCAGUGAAAGCGAACGGAGGUGGGAGCCUUAGGGCGCACCAUCGACCGAUCCUGAAGUCUUCGGAUGGAUUUGAGUAGGAGCGUGGCCGUUGGGACCCGAAAGAUGGUGAACUAUGCCUGAAUAGGGUGAAGCCAG